GAUCAUUACCGAAUUGUCAACACGAGUUGUUGCUGGUCCUCAAAACGGGGGCACGUGCACGCUCUGUUCACACAUCCACUCACACCUGUGCACCCUCUGUAGUUCCAUGGCGUGGGGGACUCUGUCCUCCUGUUGUGGUCCUACGUCUUUACACACACUCUGUAACAAAGUCUCAUGGAAUGCAUGACGCGUUUAACGCAAUACAAUACAACUUUCAGCAACGGAUCUCUUGGCUCUCGCAUCGAUGAAGAACGCAGCGAAAUGCGAUAAGUAAUGUGAAUUGCAGAAUUCAGUGAAUCAUCGAAUCUUUGAACGCACCUUGCGCCCUUUGGCUAUUCCGAAGGGCAUGCCUGUUUGAGUAUCGUGAACACCUCAACUCUCAUGGUUUGCCAUGAUGAGCUUGGACUUGGGGGUUUUGCUGGCCUUCGGUCGGCUCCUCUCAAACGGAUCAACUUUCCAGUGUUUGGUGGCGUCACGGGUGUGAUAACUAUCUACGCCUGUGGUUUUCUGCCAGAUAACCUUCAGCGAUGGAGGUUCGCUGGGGCUCAUAAAUGUCUCUCUUCAGUGGAGACAGCUUUUUGGACGUUUGAUCUCAAAUCAGGUAGGACUACCCGCUGAACUUAA
Molecule: ribosomal RNA, 624 nt
Filed under: uncultured Thelephoraceae
Lineage: Eukaryota; Fungi; Basidiomycota; Agaricomycetes; Thelephorales; Thelephoraceae
Description: eukaryotic LSU rRNA
Rfam family: 5.8S ribosomal RNA (bases 210-364)
Source: RNAcentral